GUGCUUAUUUCAGCAGCAGUACUAAAAGUGGAAUGAUACAGAGAAGAUCAGAAUGGCCCCUGUGUAAGGACGACACAAAAAUUCAUGAACCAUUCUAUAUUUAA
This is a small nuclear RNA of Nycticebus coucang (slow loris), 104 nucleotides long. NCBI's taxonomy places the organism in Eukaryota, Metazoa, Chordata, Mammalia, Primates, Lorisidae. The record is from RefSeq and is a predicted model, not a curated record.